This 473-nucleotide ribosomal RNA is filed under the name uncultured organism. Its description in RNAcentral is "partial 16S ribosomal RNA". It matches the Rfam family "Bacterial small subunit ribosomal RNA", at positions 332 to 797 of the family's 1533-position model. The record is from RNAcentral.
UACACUCCUGCGGGAGGCAGCAGUGGGGAAUUUUGGACAAUGGGCGAAAGCCUGAUCCAGCAAUGCCGCGUGUGUGAAGAAGGCCUUCGGGUUGUAAAGCACUUUUGUCCGGAAAGAAAUCCUUGGCUCUAAUACAGUCGGGGGAUGACGGUACCGGAAGAAUAAGCACCGGCUAACUACGUGCCAGCAGCCGCGGUAAUACGUAGGGUGCGAGCGUUAAUCGGAAUUACUGGGCGUAAAGCGUGCGCAGGCGGUUUGCUAAGACCGAUGUGAAAUCCCCGGGCUCAACCUGGGAACUGCAUUGGUGACUGGCAGGCUAGAGUAUGGCAGAGGGGGGUAGAAUUCCACGUGUAGCAGUGAAAUGCGUAGAGAUGUGGAGGAAUACCGAUGGCGAAGGCAGCCCCCUGGGCCAAUACUGACGCUCAUGCACGAAAGCGUGGGGAGCAAACAGGAUUAGAAACCCCGGUAGUCCC